RNAcentral lists this long non-coding RNA (1161 nucleotides) under Falco tinnunculus (common kestrel). Its description in RNAcentral is "lncRNA (ENSFTIG00000012785.1)". The record is from RNAcentral. Lineage: Eukaryota; Metazoa; Chordata; Aves; Falconiformes; Falconidae.
GGAGCGGGCUCCCCGGGCCGGGCGGGGGGGCGGCGUGUGGGCCACGCCGCUGGGGCCGGCUGCGCGGAGCACAUGGGCGCCCCGCGUUACCUGGUGUGCGCCACGGCCGCCUGCACCGCCACCAGAUCCCCAAAUAAUCCUCAGCCCCGGGGGGGUGGGGGGUGGGGUGGGGAGGGAGGGGAUGAGUCCUCCCUAAAACAAACCUCCCAUUGAGCGAGGCGGGGUGGAGAGCCGGCCCGGGGUCUGCCCCUUCACAUGGCGAUGUCUCCGGCAGGUCCCGGCAGCGGCCGCCCGGGCCACACAGAGAGCGCAGGACUCCGGCAGGAAGUCAGCGCCCAUGAAUGCUUUCGGGAAGCAUCAAGAAACUUCGCUGCUGAAGAACCCCCCCAGCAAAGUCUUUGCCCCGACAGGCUUGCAGCCGGAGAUGGAGGGCGCAGGGGGCCGCAGAGGGCAGGGUGCGUGAAGGAGCUGGGCAUAUAACCAGCCCCUUCUCUGAUGUGCACAACAUUUUGUACAGAGCUGAUUCCUACUGAAACUGAAAUUCAGCGCAGAAAAAAAUAAAUAUCAUAAAACAGAUACCGAUCUACUCCAUCUCCAUGGGGGAAACCAAAUAUCUGGAAUGCCUAAUUCCCAGUUCUCCCAGCUGCUACCCUCUGACACAUGCUUUUCUGGACCUCAAGGAUGAUAAUGGUCCAUCUCCAUGACCAGAUCUUAUGGUAGUUUAACUGGGAGGGAGUGGACCCAGAUCCCCUCCUACAAUGGGAAAUGAAGUGUAAGCAAGUGGGUUUAUAACUGAAAAAGUGUAUGUCAAGGACGUGGCAUCAUACACCGAUUUAGAAAAACUAAAAAAAUAGAUAUAAUACUGUACGAACUAAAAGAAUUCAUAUCAGAAAGAAGCGUAUAAUAUAAUCACUCUAUCUGGACUCACAGUGCUACUGAGCAUACAUGAAAUCCUAUAGCUUAAAUAAUAUUUAUUUUCCUUGCUUCAGAACUGACCCCAGCAAUUCCACAUGCCCUUUCUAUUUCUGGGAGGUUUAGAAGCAGCACCUGGGGGGCUGGUGAGGAGAAACUGGCUGAGAGCAGAAGGGAGACCUCUGCUUUCCCCUGGAGAAAAGAGGGAGCUGGUACCACUCAUAUCUUCAAGGAAAAGGCCAGUGGCAU